AUUGAACGCUGGCGGCAGGCCUAACACAUGCCAGUCGAGCGGAUGAAGGGAGCUUGCUCCUGGAUUCAGCGGCGGACGGGUGAGUAAUGCCUAGGAAUCUGCCUGGUAGUGGGGGAUAACGUCCGGAAACGGGCGCUAAUACCGCAUACGUCCUGAGGGAGAAAGUGGGGGGUCUUCGGACCUCACGCUAUCAGAUGAGCCUAGGUCGGAUUAGCUAGUUGGUGGGGUAAAGGCCUACCAAGGCGACGAUCCGUAACUGGUCUGAGAGGAUGAUCAGUCAAAUGGGAACGGAGAACCGGCCCAACCCCCUACGGGAGGCAGCGGGGGGGAAUUUUGGAAAAGGGGGGAAAGCCUAAUCCAGCCAUGCCGGGGGUGGGAAAAAGGGUUUCGGAUUGUAAAGCACUUUAAGUUGGGAGGAAGGGCAGUAAGUUAAAACCUUGCUGUUUUGACGUUACCAAAAGAAUAAGCACCGGCUAACUUCGU
RNAcentral lists this ribosomal RNA (483 nucleotides) under uncultured bacterium. RNAcentral describes it as "partial 16S ribosomal RNA". It matches the Rfam family "Bacterial small subunit ribosomal RNA", at positions 30 to 506 of the family's 1533-position model. The record is from RNAcentral.